CUCUUCCGUGUGAGCGUGUGUAUUUACCGUCUUCAUCCACCUCGUCGAUCAUCUCCUGCAGCUCCUCAGGGGUGGGGUUCUGCCCCAGCAUCCUCAUCACCUUGCCCAGCUCCUUGGUGCUGAUGCAGCCAUCCUCUGCAUCCUGGACGAAGAUGUCAAAGGCUGCCUUGAACUCUGCAACACACAGCACAGCACAUGACCACGAAACACGCAGACGGAAUGAGCUCUAUCGACUGUGGGAUGGCAGCCUGACAGAGCCUGGAGAAGCCCACAUCAAUAGGAGCAUACGGAGUGCAGUUUUCACUGGAGCACUUCACCAAUUUCCUCUCACAGAGGAAGGGGCUGCUGACGAAAGAGCCAACCAUAUCUCCACACAUCAUGAUCAGACAGUGCAUCUCAAAUCCUCAAAUCACCCGCACACCGUCUUUUGAGAGGUUGCCAUAGAAACCCUGCCGGGUUGUAGCUGCAGACAAGGAGAGGAGAUGAGGAGAGCUAUUCCCCCCCCCCCCCCCCCGCCCCCGCCACAUUUUGUCCUCGCAGUCACUGUAUUCCUCGCUCUUCUUCUUUGCCUUUUGCACAGACGAAUGCACACACGCACACACAGGUUUGGCAUCAUUAUUUAUUCCCUGGUAACCGUGAUGAGAACCAUUUAUGCAAAUGUUAUGGAUGACUUAAUCCACGUGUCCAAAUGAUUGUAUUUCAUGUGUCAUAGCGAAGAUAAAAAUGAACUUUGUUUGGGUGCCUUGACUUGGGACGGAUCAGGUUAGGAAUAGUAUUCAAGGUUUGCACUAGCCUAGCCAGCAAAUACUGUAAGUUCAUAUGGUUGCUUCAAAAUAGGUUCAAUUCACCAUUUUGUUAGGUUAAAUGGUCUUUCUAUUGGAAAAGGGACAAAAUAUCAAAUCGUCCAUUUUUUGGCCCCUGCAUUCUUCAAACCAAGUGUGUAAUAUUGUUUUCAUGUUACAGCGUGCAACCACAGUUCCUCUGUUAGUGAUAUUUCAUUAAUUUUAUUGCAUAAAGGUUGUCAGAGAAA
Molecule: long non-coding RNA, 1030 nt
Organism: Oncorhynchus gorbuscha (pink salmon)
Lineage: Eukaryota; Metazoa; Chordata; Actinopteri; Salmoniformes; Salmonidae
Exons: 2
Source: RefSeq, a predicted model, not a curated record